Molecule: RNA transcript, 1221 nt
Organism: Nerophis ophidion (straightnose pipefish)
Lineage: Eukaryota; Metazoa; Chordata; Actinopteri; Syngnathiformes; Syngnathidae
Gene name: dehydrogenase/reductase SDR family member 11-like
Exons: 9
Source: RefSeq, a predicted model, not a curated record
AUGGGCGUGUCUGUGUAGAUAAGCGGGUGCCACCUGCAUUCAAUUUGUUCACAACGGCGGUGACACAGUUCUGCCCCAAAUUGAACAAGAAACUAAUAUUAGCGUUCUUUAUUAAAAAUACGAAACGGAAAGCCGAGAGUGAUGGAACGCUGGAGGGGCAGAGUUGCUCUCGUCACCGGAGCCUCGGUUGGAAUCGGAGCGGCCAUUGCUAAAGAGUUGGUCAGUUUCGGUAUGAUAGUGGUGGGCUGUGCGAGGGACCUGGACAAGUUAAAGUCCGUGGCAGCAGAGUGUCUCAGUGAAGGCCACAGUGGCGUUUUGGUACCGUUCAAGUGCGACCUGACUAGUGAAGAGGAUAUCGCUUCCAUGUUCUCGGCUAUCAAGGCCCAGCAUAAGGGCGUGGACGUGUGCAUCAACAACGCAGGCGUAGCUCAUCCUGAACCCCUGCUGAGUGGCAGAACAAGCGGCUGGAAGAACAUGUUGGACCUGAACGUCCUCGCCUUGUCUAUAUGUUCACGAGAGGCUUAUCAGUCCAUGAAAGACAGAAAUGUUGACGACGGACAUAUUAUCAACAUAAACAGCAUGGCCGGUCAUCGCAUGGUCAGCAACCCCGAUGUGCACUUCUACAGUGCCACCAAGUUUGCGGUGACGGCGCUGACGGAGGCUCUGAGGCGGGAGCUGCGAGAGGCCAACUCCCACAUCCGUACCUCUUGCAUUUCCCCUGGCCUGGUGGAGACUGAAUUUACUCUUCGUCUCUACAGUGGCGACGCUGAAAAAGUUGACAAAACUUUCAGCAAAUACAAGCCGCUGGACGCUAAAGAUGUUGCUAAUGCUGUCACCUACGUCCUUAGUGCCCCACCACACGUGCAGGUUGGUGAUGUUCAGAUGAGACCCGUGGAGCAGUCUUUGUAGAAGCAGUUCUAAAACGAACUAGGCUUUUUUCCACUUUCCUGUAACAGAAUGGAACGCUCCAUCAUUCCUCCAAUAAGGUUCAAGUGGGCAACAAACUAAGAUGCGAUAUAUAUAGAGCAAAGGUUGGAAAAAGGUAUUUAGUGUGGAUUGAUCCCCAAUUUUUUAAAAUAUACAUAGGUUUUUGUUAGUUUUAUAAAUUAAGAUGAUCUUUUUUUAGAAUGCUGCACAAUUGUCUCCACCUUUUGAAUGAUAUUGAUAUAAAACAUAUGUAUUUCUUAAUAUGGAUGCCAAAUAAAGUCAGCUAACAAUGAA